Sarcophilus harrisii (Tasmanian devil) is the source of this 34-nucleotide non-coding RNA. NCBI's taxonomy places the organism in Eukaryota, Metazoa, Chordata, Mammalia, Dasyuromorphia, Dasyuridae. The record is from Rfam.
CCGUGGUGGAGGCUGGGGCCAUGGCGGAGGCUGG